This 253-nucleotide ribosomal RNA is filed under the name uncultured bacterium. RNAcentral describes it as "partial 16S ribosomal RNA". It matches the Rfam family "Bacterial small subunit ribosomal RNA", at positions 524 to 776 of the family's 1533-position model. The record is from RNAcentral.
UACGUAGGGGGCUAGCGUUGUCCGGAAUCAUUGGGCGUAAAGAGCGCGUAGGCGGCCAGAUAAGUCCGGUGUGAAAGUCAAAGGCUCAACCUUUGAAUGCCGCUGGAAACUGUCUGGCUAGAGUCCGGGAGGGGCGAGUGGAAUUCCUGGUGUAGCGGUGAAAUUCGUAGAUAUUGGAAAGAACACCAGUGGCGAAGGCGGCUCACUGGCUCGGUACUGACGCUGAGGCGCGAAAGCGUGGGGAGCAAACAGG